Molecule: ribosomal RNA, 683 nt
Filed under: uncultured archaeon
Lineage: Archaea
Description: bacterial SSU rRNA
Rfam family: Archaeal small subunit ribosomal RNA
Source: RNAcentral
GGAUAACCUACCCUUAGGACUGGGAUAACCCUGGGAAACUGGGGAUAAUACCGGAUAGGCGAUUUUUCCUGGAAUGGUUUUUUGUUUAAAUGUUUUUUCGCCUAAGGAUGGGUCUGCGGCCGAUUAGGUAGUUGGUUAGGUAACGGCUUACCAAGCCAUUGAUCGGUACGGGUUGUGAGAGCAAGAGCCCGGAGAUGGAACCUGAGACAAGGUUCCAGGCCCUACGGGGUGCAGCAGGCGCGAAACCUCCGCAAUGUGAGAAAUCGCGACGGGGGGAUCCCAAGUGCCAUUCUUAACGGGAUGGCUUUUCAUUAGUGUAAAGAGCUUUUGGAAUAAGGGCUGGGCAAGACCGGUGCCAGCCGCCGCGGUAACACCGGCAGCUCUAGUGGUAGCAGUUUUUAUUGGGCCUAAAGCGUCCGUAGCCGGUUUAAUAAGUCUCUGGUGAAAUCCUGUAGCUUAACUGUGGGAAUUGCUGGAGAUACUAUUAGACUUGAGACCGGGAGAGGUUAGAGGUACUCCCAGGGUAGAGGUGAAAUUCUGUAAUCCUGGGAGGACCGCCUGUUGCGAAGGCGUCUAACUGGAACGGUUCUGACGGUGAGGGACGAAAGUUAGGGGCGCGAACCGGAUUAGAUACCCGGGUAGUCCUAACUGUAAACGAUGCGGACUUGGUGUUGGGGUGGCUU